CAAGUCGAACGUGAGGGUUUAGCAAUAAACCUGAAAGUGGCGAACGGGUGAGUAACACGUAGAUAACCUGCCGCGCAGAGGGGGAUAACGACUAGAAAUGGUCGCUAAUACCGCAUGGUACUCGGGAAAGGGGACUUUCCUUGGUUAAAACUAUUGUGCUGCGUGAGGGGUCUGCGUCCGAUUAGUUAGUUGGUGAGGUAACGGCUCACCAAGACGAUGAUCGGUAGCUAGUCUGAGAGGAUGAUUAGCCACACGGGAACUGAGACACGGUCCCGACUCCUACGGGGGGCAGCAGUGAGGAAUAUUGCACAAUGGACGCAAGUCUGAUGCAGCAACGCCGCGUGGAGGAUGACGGUCUUUGGAUUGUAAACUCCUUUUCUCAGGGAAGAGAAUGGACGGUACCUGAGGAAUAAGUCACGGCUAACUACGUGCCAGCAGCCGCGGUAAUACGUAGGUGGCGAGCGUUAUCCGGAAUUACUGGGCGUAAAGCGCACGCAGGCGGCGCCUUAAGUUUGACGUGAAAGCUCCCGGCUUAACUGGGAGAGGUCGUUGAAUACUGAGGUGCUUGAGGCAAUGAGAGGGGUGUAGAAUUCCCGGUGUAGUGGUGGAAUGCGUAGAUAUCGGGGGGAAUACCAGUGGCGAAAGCGGCACCCUAGCGUUAGCCUGACGCUCAUGUGCGAAAGCGUGGGGAGCGAACGGGAUUAGAUACCCCGGUAGUCCACGCUGUAAACGAUGAACACUAGGUGUAGGUGAUGUGAAAGUUAUCUGUACCGAAGCCAACGCGUUAAGUGUUCCGCCUGGGGAGU
RNAcentral lists this ribosomal RNA (806 nucleotides) under uncultured cyanobacterium. RNAcentral's name for it is "bacterial SSU rRNA". It matches the Rfam family "Bacterial small subunit ribosomal RNA", at positions 58 to 881 of the family's 1533-position model. Lineage: Bacteria; Bacillati; Cyanobacteriota. The record is from RNAcentral.